GGAGGUGGUUGACUCAAUGGUUCAGCAUUUUAAAGUAACUAUAUUUGGAGACCGUAGACCAGUUUAUGAUGGAAAAAGAAGUCUUUACACCGCCAAUCCACUUCCUGUGGCAACUACAGGGGUAGAUUUAGACGUUACUUUACCUGGGGAAGGUGGAAAAGAUCGACCUUUCAAGGUGUCGAUCAAAUUUGUCUCUCGGGUGAGUUGGCACCUACUGCAUGAAGUACUGACAGGACGGACCUUGCCUGAGCCACUGGAAUUAGACAAGCCAAUCAGCACUAACCCUGUCCAUGCCGUUGAUGUGGUGCUACGACAUCUGCCCUCCAUGAAAUACACGCCUGUGGGGCGUUCAUUUUUCUCCGCUCCAGAAGGAUAUGACCACCCUCUGGGAGGGGGCAGGGAAGUGUGGUUUGGAUUCCAUCAGUCUGUUCGGCCUGCCAUGUGGAAAAUGAUGCUUAAUAUUGAUGGUAAGGGAACUAAAGCCAUAUUCUGUAUUGGGUGGUGGAUUUCUGUAUGAUGUGUGUACAUAAAUUUUAUGUAUAAUUAUA
Molecule: small RNA, 548 nt
Filed under: Pongo abelii (Sumatran orangutan)
Lineage: Eukaryota; Metazoa; Chordata; Mammalia; Primates; Hominidae
Description: retained intron
Source: RNAcentral